Molecule: ribosomal RNA, 1645 nt
Filed under: Salmonella enterica subsp. enterica serovar Brandenburg
Lineage: Bacteria; Pseudomonadati; Pseudomonadota; Gammaproteobacteria; Enterobacterales; Enterobacteriaceae
Description: partial 23S ribosomal RNA
Rfam family: Bacterial large subunit ribosomal RNA
Source: RNAcentral
ACGGGGCUAAACCAUGCACCGAAGCUGCGGCAGCGACGCUGAUGCGUUGUUGGGUAGGGGAGCGUUCUGUAAGCCUGCGAAGGUGGCCUGUGAGGGUUGCUGGAGGUAUCAGAAGUGCGAAUGCUGACAUAAGUAACGAUAAAGCGGGUGAAAAGCCCGCUCGCCGGAAGACCAAGGGUUCCUGUCCAACGUUAAUCGGGGCAGGGUGAGUCGACCCCUAAGGCGAGGCCGAAAGGCGUAGUCGAUGGGAAACGGGUUAAUAUUCCCGUACUUGGUGUUACUGCGAAGGGGGGACGGAGAAGGCUAUGUUGGCCGGGCGACGGUUGUCCCGGUUUAAGCGUGUAGGUGUGUGUUCCAGGUAAAUCCGGUUCACUUUAACACUGAGGCGUGAUGACGAGGCACUACGGUGCUGAAGCAACAAAUGCCCUGCUUCCAGGAAAAGCCUCUAAGCAUCAGGUAACAUCAAAUCGUACCCCAAACCGACACAGGUGGUCAGGUAGAGAAUACCAAGGCGCUUGAGAGAACUCGGGUGAAGGAACUAGGCAAAAUGGUGCCGUAACUUCGGGAGAAGGCACGCUGACACGUAGGUGAAGUGAUUUACUCAUGGAGCUGAAGUCAGUCGAAGAUACCAGCUGGCUGCAACUGUUUAUUAAAAACACAGCACUGUGCAAACACGAAAGUGGACGUAUACGGUGUGACGCCUGCCCGGUGCCGGAAGGUUAAUUGAUGGGGUCAGCGCAAGCGAAGCUCCUGAUCGAAGCCCCGGUAAACGGCGGCCGUAACUAUAACGGUCCUAAGGUAGCGAAAUUCCUUGUCGGGUAAGUUCCGACCUGCACGAAUGGCGUAAUGAUGGCCAGGCUGUCUCCACCCGAGACUCAGUGAAAUUGAACUCGCUGUGAAGAUGCAGUGUACCCGCGGCAAGACGGAAAGACCCCGUGAACCUUUACUAUAGCUUGACACUGAACAUUGAGCCUUGAUGUGUAGGAUAGGUGGGAGGCUUUGAAGUGUGGACGCCAGUCUGCAUGGAGCCGACCUUGAAAUACCACCCUUUAAUGUUUGAUGUUCUAACGUGGACCCGUGAUCCGGGUUGCGGACAGUGUCUGGUGGGUAGUUUGACUGGGGCGGUCUCCUCCUAAAGAGUAACGGAGGAGCACGAAGGUUGGCUAAUCCUGGUCGGACAUCAGGAGGUUAGUGCAAUGGCAUAAGCCAGCUUGACUGCGAGCGUGACGGCGCGAGCAGGUGCGAAAGCAGGUCAUAGUGAUCCGGUGGUUCUGAAUGGAAGGGCCAUCGCUCAACGGAUAAAAGGUACUCCGGGGAUAACAGGCUGAUACCGCCCAAGAGUUCAUAUCGACGGCGGUGUUUGGCACCUCGAUGUCGGCUCAUCACAUCCUGGGGCUGAAGUAGGUCCCAAGGGUAUGGCUGUUCGCCAUUUAAAGUGGUACGCGAGCUGGGUUUAGAACGUCGUGAGACAGUUCGGUCCCUAUCUGCCGUGGGCGCUGGAGAACUGAGGGGGGCUGCUCCUAGUACGAGAGGACCGGAGUGGACGCAUCACUGGUGUUCGGGUUGUCAUGCCAAUGGCACUGCCCGGUAGCUAAAUGCGGAAGAGAUAAGUGCUGAAAGCAUCUAAGCACGAAACUUGCCCCGA